This 611-nucleotide ribosomal RNA is filed under the name Hydraena manguao. Its description in RNAcentral is "partial 16S ribosomal RNA". The stretch from base 376 to 534 matches the Rfam family "Bacterial large subunit ribosomal RNA", at positions 2473 to 2632 of the family's 2925-position model. Lineage: Eukaryota; Metazoa; Arthropoda; Insecta; Coleoptera; Hydraenidae. The record is from RNAcentral.
GUCCUUUAGAUUAUAAUUUAAGGUCUAACCUGCCCACUGAAUUUUGAAUGGCCGCAGUAUUUUGACUGUGCAAAGGUAGCAUAAUAAUUAGUUUCUUAAUUAGAAGCUUGUAUGAAUGGUUGAACGAGAAAUUAACUGUCUCAAUUUAUAAGUUAAAAUUUUAUUUUUAAGUCAAAAAGCUUAAAUGAUUUUAAAAGACGAGAAGACCCUAUAGAGUUUAAUAUUUUAAUUUAUUAUAUUUUUUAGAAUUUUUAUUAUAUAUUAAAAUAUUUUGUUGGGGUGAUAUAUAAAUUUAAUAAACUUUAUAUUUUAUUUAACAUUAAUUUAUGAUUUUAUGAUCCAUUAUUUAUGAUUAAAAGAAAAAAUUACCUUAGGGAUAACAGCGUUAUUUUUUUUUAGAGUUCAAAUCGAAAAAAAAGUUUGCGACCUCGAUGUUGGAUUAAAAUUUAUUUAUGGUGUAGAAGCUAUAAAAUUAGGUCUGUUCGACCUUUAAAAUUUUACAUGAUCUGAGUUUAAACCGGUGUGAGCCAGGUUGGUUUCUAUCUUUAAAUAGUUUAAAUAUUUUAGUACGAAAGGACCAAUUAUUUUUAAAAUUUAAUUAUUAUUGAAUA